RNAcentral lists this ribosomal RNA (112 nucleotides) under Caerostris darwini. Lineage: Eukaryota; Metazoa; Arthropoda; Arachnida; Araneae; Araneidae. The record is from RNAcentral.
AACGGCCGUACCAUGCUGAAUAUACCGGUUUUCGUUAGAUCACCGAAGUUAACUAUCAUUGGGCGCGGUCAGUACUUGGGUGGGUGACCACCUGGGAACACUGCGUGCCGUU